UAAUUUUUAAUUUAAAUAAAAUAUUUCAUUUACAAUGAAAUUAUAAUAUAUUUUUAUAUAUUAAAAUUAU
RNAcentral lists this transfer RNA (70 nucleotides) under Melanips sp. ZJUH 20220003. Its description in RNAcentral is "tRNA-Val". The record is from RNAcentral. Lineage: Eukaryota; Metazoa; Arthropoda; Insecta; Hymenoptera; Figitidae.